This 1350-nucleotide ribosomal RNA is filed under the name Listeria monocytogenes. RNAcentral's name for it is "partial 23S ribosomal RNA". It matches the Rfam family "Bacterial large subunit ribosomal RNA", at positions 43 to 1388 of the family's 2925-position model. Lineage: Bacteria; Bacillati; Bacillota; Bacilli; Caryophanales; Listeriaceae. The record is from RNAcentral.
GAGCCGAAGAAGGACGGGACUAACACCGAUAUGCUUUGGGGAGCUGUACGUAAGCGUUGAUCCAGAGAUUUCCGAAUGGGGGAACCCACUAUCUUUAGUCGGAUAGUAUCCUUACGUGAAUACAUAGCGUGAGGAAGGCAGACCCAGGGAACUGAAACAUCUAAGUACCUGGAGGAAGAGAAAGAAAAAUCGAUUUCCUGAGUAGCGGCGAGCGAAACGGAAAGAGCCCAAACCAAGAAGCUUGCUUCUUGGGGUUGUAGGACACUCUAUACGGAGUUACAAAAGAAAGUUAUAAAUGAAGCGGUCUGGAAAGGCCCGCCAAAGACGGUAACAGCCCGGUAGUUGAAAUGGCUUUCCCUCCAGAGUGGAUCCUGAGUACGGCGGAACACGUGAAAUUCCGUCGGAAUCCGGGAGGACCAUCUCCCAAGGCUAAAUACUCCCUAGUGACCGAUAGUGAACCAGUACCGUGAGGGAAAGGUGAAAAGCACCCCGGAAGGGGAGUGAAACAGUUCCUGAAACCGUGUGCCUACAAGUAGUUAGAGCCCGUUAAUGGGUGAUAGCGUGCCUUUUGUAGAAUGAACCGGCGAGUUACGAUUUGUUGCAAGGUUAAGCGGAAAAAGCGGAGCCGUAGCGAAAGCGAGUCUGAAUAGGGCGCAUAAGUAACAGGUCGUAGACCCGAAACCAGGUGAUCUACCCAUGUCCAGGAUGAAGGUAAGGUAAUACUUACUGGAGGUCCGAACCCACGCACGUUGAAAAGUGCGGGGAUGAGGUGUGGGUAGCGGAGAAAUUCCAAUCGAACUUGGAGAUAGCUGGUUCUCUCCGAAAUAGCUUUAGGGCUAGCCUCGAGGUAAAGAGUCAUGGAGGUAGAGCACUGUUUGGACUAGGGGCCCUUCUCGGGUUACCGAAUUCAGAUAAACUCCGAAUGCCAUGUACUUAUACUCGGGAGUCAGACUGCGAGUGAUAAGAUCCGUAGUCGAAAGGGAAACAGCCCAGACCACCAGUUAAGGUCCCCAAAUAUAUGUUAAGUGGAAAAGGAUGUGGGGUUGCUUAGACAACCAGGAUGUUGGCUUAGAAGCAGCCACCAUUGAAAGAGUGCGUAAUAGCUCACUGGUCGAGUGACCCCGCGCCGAAAAUGUACCGGGGCUAAACAUAUUACCGAAACUGUGGAUGAACCUCUUUAGAGGUUCGUGGUAGGAGAGCGUUCUAAGGGCGGUGAAGUCAGACCGGAAGGACUGGUGGAGCGCUUAGAAGUGAGAAUGCCGGUAUGAGUAGCGAAAGAAGGGUGAGAAUCCCUUCCACCGAAUAUCUAAGGUUUCCUGAGGAAGGCUCGUCCGCUCAGGGUUAGUCGGG